CACAAAUGAUCAAAAUUAACACAUUAGCGUGGAUCACUGUUGAUCAGUUAUAAUAUAAGAAUGGAUCACGAUUGAUCAAUUAAAAACUUUAGCAUGGAUCACGAUUGAUCAAUUAUAACAUUAGCAUGGAUCAAGAAUGAUCAAUUAGAACCAUCUGUACAAAAAGAGCACUUUAUCAUUACUGUCCAAUACUGACAUUGACUUUAAAAAUACUGG
Molecule: long non-coding RNA, 216 nt
Filed under: Mytilus galloprovincialis (Mediterranean mussel)
Lineage: Eukaryota; Metazoa; Mollusca; Bivalvia; Mytilida; Mytilidae
Source: RNAcentral